AACUCCAAAAAUGAUGAUUCUUGGCCACAUAUAUCAUGGUCGACGACUAACCAACACAAACAUACUAUCCUUGAUGGAAGCGCAUUUCCUCCAAAGAUUGUCUCUUUUGUCCUCCGAUGUUUGGACCUUUUUGAUUGAUUCCGGCACUUGUCAACCUUAACAACUUUGUGUGGAUCAUUUAGCAACUCAUCAAGGUGGUAACAUUUGAUGAUAACUCGAAGCUUUCUAUCACAUAGGAUCAUGGAAUUCUUUUGCCUUAGUUAAAUUCUAACACAAUUAUUAUGUUUUUCUUUGGACAAGUUGCUUGGUUUGGUUGUUUUGUUAGUUGGAUUUGGUUGUUGAACAUGAAAUUUGAAUUAAUAUUAUAUUUGAACUUUUAUUA
This is a long non-coding RNA of Helianthus annuus (common sunflower), 382 nucleotides long. RefSeq lists it as uncharacterized. Lineage: Eukaryota; Viridiplantae; Streptophyta; Magnoliopsida; Asterales; Asteraceae. The record is from RefSeq and is a predicted model, not a curated record. The transcript has 2 exons.